GGGGCCGUAGCUCAGCCGGGAGAGCGCCGCCCUUGCACGGCGGAGGUCAGGGGUUCGAUCCCCCUCGGCUCCACCA
RNAcentral lists this transfer RNA (76 nucleotides) under Chloroflexota bacterium. Its description in RNAcentral is "Chloroflexi bacterium tRNA-Ala". It matches the Rfam family "tRNA". From Rfam's summary of the family: Transfer RNA (tRNA) molecules are approximately 80 nucleotides in length. Their secondary structure includes four short double-helical elements and three loops (D, anti-codon, and T loops). Lineage: Bacteria; Bacillati; Chloroflexota. The record is from RNAcentral.